This 73-nucleotide transfer RNA is filed under the name Bos taurus (domestic cattle). It matches the Rfam family "tRNA". Rfam says of the family: Transfer RNA (tRNA) molecules are approximately 80 nucleotides in length. Their secondary structure includes four short double-helical elements and three loops (D, anti-codon, and T loops). Lineage: Eukaryota; Metazoa; Chordata; Mammalia; Artiodactyla; Bovidae. RNAcentral also lists the same sequence under 5 other names. The record is from Rfam by way of RNAcentral.
UCCCCGGUGGUCCAGUGAUUAGGAUGCCGAGCUUUCACUGCUGAGGGCUCGGGUUCAAUUCCUGGCUGGGAAA